UAGAAUAAAUAGCUGAGAUCAAUUCUUGUAUUGAAAAAGGUUUUAUUAAAUAACUAUUAACAGCAUUGAUUUGAUUGUCAAAAGAGUAACUAGAUUUACUGUUAACAAAGUCUGGUGUAUAUAUCUGAAGAAAGUCUUGAAUCCAGGUGUUAUCACUAUUGUUGCUGGAAUAUGUUUUGUUAAAUUUACGCAUAUAUUUCCAGAUCCUUGACAUAGGAGUGCACCGGUUAAAGGAAUUGCAUAAUUCAACCCAGCUAUUAGAUCUUACUGUUUUUAAGGAAGGUGGUAGCUGCCAAGUGGAUCAUUAUGUACAGACCAAUCACAAGAAAGAGCCAAUGAUGGUGAAACCAAGGACAAAUCCAGGGCGUUUGGACGCCAAGUCAAAGAACCAACUGUUGUUACUUCACCGCUAUUUAGUAAGACAAGACCAUUGUCAUCAAUAACCUCCAGAAUAUCUCUACCUCUUGAAUUCACGGUAUUGCACCCCCAUGAUGUAUGAUGAGCAUUGAAAUCACCAGCAAAAAUCAUUGGUGCAGGAACAGAUUUUACUAAAGAUUCAAAUUUAUGUUUAUUAAAAGAUGGAGUACAGUUUGGUGGGCAAUAGAAACUAACAAUACUAAUUUCUUUUUUAUUUUUAGAAAUUCUGACACAAAUGUUUUGUAAUGAACUAUCAGAGUAUGUAUUUAUAUUUCUGUAAUGUAUACUGUUAUGUAUUAAAAUAGCUACACCAUUGUGUUUGUUACCAAUAUCAUUUCUCUCUAUUUGAUAUCCCCUUAUGUUAAAGGGUUUAUCAGGUGUAAGCCAUGUUUCUGAAAUUAUUGCUACAUGUAUGUGAUGUU
This is a long non-coding RNA of Ostrinia furnacalis (Asian corn borer), 839 nucleotides long. RefSeq lists it as uncharacterized. The record is from RefSeq and is a predicted model, not a curated record. The transcript has 2 exons. NCBI's taxonomy places the organism in Eukaryota, Metazoa, Arthropoda, Insecta, Lepidoptera, Crambidae.